Molecule: transfer RNA, 72 nt
Filed under: Camelus dromedarius (Arabian camel)
Lineage: Eukaryota; Metazoa; Chordata; Mammalia; Artiodactyla; Camelidae
Also listed under: 1 other name
Rfam family: tRNA
About the family: Transfer RNA (tRNA) molecules are approximately 80 nucleotides in length.
Source: Rfam by way of RNAcentral
GGGGGUAUAGCUCAGUGGUGGAGUGCAUGAUUAGCAUGCAUGAAGUCCUGGGUUCAAUCUCCAGUAUCUCCA